This 1306-nucleotide long non-coding RNA is filed under the name Piliocolobus tephrosceles (Ugandan red Colobus). Its description in RNAcentral is "lncRNA (ENSPTEG00000036401.1)". Lineage: Eukaryota; Metazoa; Chordata; Mammalia; Primates; Cercopithecidae. The record is from RNAcentral.
GCUUCAGAAUGGGGACAAGAUUUAAAUGAAGUGAACUAUUUAGGAGGCAAUAGGGGCAUUAUUUAUGUAGCAAUACUAAACAAGACAAAGAGGUUAAAUCAGAACUCAAACUUUAGAUUAUGUUGUUUCAAGGUCAUUUUCAUUAGUCUAAAAUAUUCUGAACUUCACCAAUCACUAAGUGUUGUUACUCCUGAAGUCUUGGGAAACAAUGUGGAUCAACAAGACUUAGAAUUAAAUGGAGGAAAAUCUACUGUGGGCUUCAACAUGCCAGCCACCCACUGCUGUGGAACUGUUGAGAACACUUGAGACACAUGGUUCUUCAGAAUGAGAUAAAGAGCUGGAAAAAAUUUAUAAAUUAUUAGAUCUAAAAUGAACCCAUGGAGAUUAUACUGCUGCCAGGUUCUAGAAUCUAGCUCAAACUAUGCAUUUGACUGAUGAGUUACAUUAAUGAGGCUCUGACAGAUUACUCAAGGAUGCCCUGUGACAUCUCAAGGGUCACCCAGCUGGUUGUGGUUUAGGCAGAACUAAGAGUUACAUCUUCUUUUAACACAGUUUUUCGUAACUGUGGAGUGUUUGAGUACUUCAGUUCUCAACUUCUGUGAUGCUGUCAGCUAUUAUUCUAUUUAUCUUAAAAGUCUCAAUAUUGGCAAUAUGACUUCCUUAAAGGCCAGAAUUGCUAAAGAAUUAGGAAAAUGAUUUAAUUUGCCAUGAAAAAGAUGUGACUAUUAACACCUCUUAGGGACUUUCUUUCCUCUAUUAGGCUUUCAAAAAUGUAAAAUGUAUUCAUUAUUCAAAUGUGCUAUGUGAAGGUGCUUGGGAAUUAGUAUGCUUAAAUUCUAUGUCAUUGCCCUAGGUCUCUUUAUGCAGUGCUUGGACUCUAUGCAGUCUUUGGAGGGGAGAGAAAAGAGAUGGGAAUUAUGGAAUGGUCAAUGGAUGACGAGCUAGUUCUUUUGCAAUUAAGAUUCAUAAAAACAAGAUGGAACUGCUUCCUGUUUUAUAUUUUGCCCAGUUAAUUACGUAUGUUCCCAAUUUAUAAUCUAACAUAAUGUAUAGAAUUUUUCAGAAAGGAGGGAGCCUUAGAGACCAUUAAGUCAAAAGUUGGAAGAAAGGAGACUAACUGAAUAUCAUCCCCUGUAGGAAGAUAAGAUGCUAAUUUUUAGAGGCACUCAGCCUCUAAAAUCAAUUUUUCUUAACAUUGAGAAUUAUUGAGUGGCUGGAAAAGCAUCUUACUCUAUGAAAUAUAGUCACUGUUUAGUGCCUUUCCAUUUUAUUUACUAUUUAAAGCAUACAACAGCUAGUUAACCAA